RNAcentral lists this ribosomal RNA (467 nucleotides) under uncultured bacterium. RNAcentral's name for it is "partial 16S ribosomal RNA". It matches the Rfam family "Bacterial small subunit ribosomal RNA", at positions 28 to 507 of the family's 1533-position model. The record is from RNAcentral.
GACGAACGCUGGCGGCGUGCUUAACACAUGCAAGUCGAACGGAAAGGCCCUGCUUUUGUGGGGUGCUCGAGUGGCGAACGGGUGAGUAACACGUGAGUAACCUGCCCUUAACUUUGGGAUAACUUCAGGAAACUGGGGCUAAUACCGGAUAGGAGCUCCUGCUGCAUGGUGGUGGUUGGAAAGUUUCGGCGGUUGGGGAUGGACUCGCGGCUUAUCAGCUUGUUGGUGGGGUAGUGGCUUACCAAGGCUUUGACGGGUAGCCGGCCUGAGAGGGUGACCGGCACAUUGGGACUGAGAUACGGACCAGACUCCUACGGGAGGCAGCAGUGGGGAAUAUUGCACAAUGGGCGGAAGCCUGAUGCAGCAACGCCGCGUGCGGGAUGACGGCCUUCGGGUUGUAAACCGCUUUCGCCUGUGACGAAGCGUGAGUGACGGUAAUGGGUAAAGAAGCACCGGCUAACUACGUG